Molecule: long non-coding RNA, 323 nt
Filed under: Nilaparvata lugens (brown planthopper)
Lineage: Eukaryota; Metazoa; Arthropoda; Insecta; Hemiptera; Delphacidae
Description: uncharacterized LOC120355684
Source: RNAcentral
UGGAUUUACAACAGAAAGGCGUAAAAUUCAUUAUAAAUUUGAUGCGACAGUUCAAAGUUUUGUACUUUCCAGACCUGCACAACGAAUUACCUAUUUGAAAAAUAGAAUAUGGUUAAAAAUUGCUGAUAUGAUAGAGGAUUCAAGUACUAUUUACAAACAAAAUAUUGAAGAGAAUGUGCUCAAAAGGAAAUGCAUAUGAAUUCUUUUUUGUUGACCAGGAUGGAAAAAUUCUUUGGAACCCAUGGUUAGAAUAAGUUAGUUAGGCCUAGAGGUGUACCAGCCAGAAGUAGAGGAUGACAAAGAAAAUCAACUAUGAAUAAUAU